RNAcentral lists this long non-coding RNA (914 nucleotides) under Bos taurus (domestic cattle). RNAcentral's name for it is "long non-coding RNA NONBTAT014065". Lineage: Eukaryota; Metazoa; Chordata; Mammalia; Artiodactyla; Bovidae. The record is from RNAcentral.
GUCAGAAUGUUUGAACUGACCCAGAGACGAGGCUCAUAUGCCACGUGUAUACUCUCAACAACUUUAAGAGCAAGACAAAAGACCCUUCCAGUCACUUCCUAUUGACAGCCACAACCCUCAAGUUUCACACUUUAGAGCUGGAGAAAAAUCAGUAGUACCUCUUCUUCUGACAUCUUAAUCUCUUGAGAGGUUCUCAUACCUUUGUGUUUUCCCACCUAAUCUUUACAGUGGUGGUCUUAGCUACCCCUGGACUCAAAACAGUCUUAGGCAUAUACAAAAUAAUAAUAUAACUAGCAAACUGCAAAAAUCCCACACAGUUCUUCCUUUGAAAGAAGUCUCUUAGUGUUUGGAUAAGGUUUGUUCAGAAAUGCAUCUGGAAUGUGUAUCUCUAGCCCCCACAUUCAGGUUGAAGCACAGAGGUUGGUAAAUUGUGUAUUCUGUGGUUUAAAAAGCUUGAAGCGACCUGUUUCCAAAUGAGUGUGUCCUUCUUCCCUUUAUCUAUUGAUAGCAGUCAUUUAGGCUUCCCUCAGCUCUUCCGGGCCUCUGUACUCAGUGCUUAUAAAGCUUUGGAUUUUUGUUAACUAUGUAAUCAGUACCACCCAAAUGUCAUAUCUGACCUGGAAGUGUUUCUGGACCUCAGACUCGUGCAUUUGUAAAUCUAGUAUUUCAGAGCCACCUGGGGAUGCCUCAUGGUUUGAGCCAGGAUGGAAGGACUGCUCUGGUGGCUGGAGCAGUCAACGGCAGACAGCCCAGGGUCUGUCUGCCUAGGGUGGUGUUCAGCUUACAAAACUGGACCCUUUCUCUUCCACCAACCCCUGUUUUGACCUAAACCUCCUUCUCCUCCCAUGCUUGAUGUCUCUUUUAGGGCAGUUCUGAUGCUUGCCUCAAAUCUAGGGAGUCUCUGAUUCCUCUCU